UAGCGUUAGCGCCCCGACACCCCCACCGAGUCCAACGCUUCUCUCCUUCUCUCUCUCUGCAGCUCCUCUCACUUCAGCGGUGCGGAGCUCUGCUUCCCCGUCCCUCUCCGUCAAUGCUAGGGGGCCUAAACCCUAGCCCUGUUGCUUUCUUUACAGGUAUGGGAGCAUUUUGCUGUUGUCCAUGUUCAGAGGAUUUCGAAGAAUAUGCCCAUCCAAGCAAUCCCAUGUAUAGGCACUGCAUAUGCUUAAGAUACUUCUUUCAUCAGCUGUUCAGUGGGUAUAGCGCAAUGUUUCAAAGAUUGGAGGUGCAGACAGUUGCUUCCCCUGUUCAAGCAGUAACUCCAUUGAUAUCAACAGGCAUUGGAACCGCUUCAGCUGACAGUUCAUUGUCUGAGAGCUACCACCUUGUCCCUCAACCUCCAUCUUAUGAUACAGAUCCUAGAUUAUCUCAUUCCCAACGUGAUGGGUUGGUCUUGAGGAGGGACAAGUCUAUGAGCCACUUACAGGAAGAAUCACAGACCCGUCGAAGAAAUGGAAGUAGCUCUGCAGUGGAACAUUUAGGUUCCAUUAAAAAAUGGAACAGUGUAGAAACUGAGGAAGAAAAGCCUAGCCAUUCUGAAUCAGAGAAAAAUCUAUAUGCAAAAGCUUAUGGUACUGGUUAUGUGAUAGCGACUUCAGAGGAUGAAGAUGUUUGCCCUACAUGUCUUGAUGGUUGUCUGAGAUGUCCUAAUAUGAAUUCUAAUGGGAAAGCCCUAGUAUACUCCUGAAAAUCCAAAAAUUGUGACAAAUUGCUCUCAUCAUUUUCAUCUGAGCUGUAUAUAUGAAUGGAUGGAAAGAAGUGAUAGUUGUCCAAUUUGUGGCAAGGUGAUGGAAUUCUGCGAGAGUCCAUGAAAUAAAUUUAUUUAUUCUCUACAUUUUGGUAGAGAAAUAGCAGAGCAUGUAGUGUUGGAGGGAGUGUUUGUAAAUAAAAGUUCUGCAGCCCCAGCACAGAGCUAUCUAUCAAGGGACAGUUCUCAAAUAUACUGACAUGUCCAUAUGUAAAAAUUCUCUAGCACAUUGAUUAACAACUGUUUUUUGAUGCUACUGUUUUACCUUGUAUUACAUACCAUAAGCUGAAAGUUUUGAUAGCUAUAGCACUGUCUCUGAUAAUAAAAGCAUUGUUGCAAAA
Molecule: non-coding RNA, 1168 nt
Organism: Phoenix dactylifera (date palm)
Lineage: Eukaryota; Viridiplantae; Streptophyta; Magnoliopsida; Arecales; Arecaceae
Source: RefSeq, a predicted model, not a curated record